AAAAGCACAGUGAAUUUAAAAAUGAGAUUACCAAACACCUCAACGAAUUCUCUACACAAAAAAAUAUAUCACUGCAAAACCAAAGUGGUUCUGGUUGCAAAUCCAGACAAUCUAAAUUAAAUUUUAACAAUCUAAACAUUCCAGCUCUAUCGCAAAAAACAGCAGACAAGGUUAUCAUGGAUUUUAUUAUUGACACCUUCCAACCACUGUCUCUGGUUGUUGAUCCUUCAUUUGAAAAAAUAAUUAAAACUUUUUCUCCUGCGAUAAAAAUUAUUUGUCGCCAAACACUGGGCAACAGGAUAUCUACUUCCUUCUCUUAUAUGACGACAAAUCUUAUAAGAGAUUUGUCUGAAGUUUCUUAUGUUUGCACCACUGCUGAUUGUUGGGGUGGUCACCGAAGGGCUUUUAUUGGACUUACUGCACAUUGGCUGGAUCCGUAAACUCUCAAGAGAAGGUCAGUUGCUUUGGCACUGAGGAGGAUAAUUGGGUGGCAAACAUAUGAUGUUUUGGUUAACGAAAUCAUGGGUAUCCACAAGUUCUAUAAAAUUCAUAAUAAGGUGGUGAAGAUGGUGAUUGACAAUGAAAACAACUUUGUCAAGGCAUUUAAAGUUUUUGGAGAAAAUGAAGAAGAUAGUAGUGAGGAUAUGGAAUUGAUAAAUUUGGAUGACAUAUUAUCCGUUAAUGACCCAAUUAUUCCUACUAUCAGCCUACCAAAACAUCAACGUUGUUGUUGCCAUAAUCUUAACCUUAUUGCAACAACAGAUGCGGAGAUGGCAGAUAGUGAUCUCAAUUAUAAACGAAUAUCUAGAUCCACUUUUGCAAAAUGUUUUGCUUUAGUUAAUAAACAAAAUAUGUCGUCAAAAAUGGCGGAUAUUUUAUUGGAGAAAUUGGGUAGAUAUUUAAUAGCUCCCAACAAGACAAG
This is a long non-coding RNA of Gordionus sp. m RMFG-2023, 922 nucleotides long. RefSeq lists it as uncharacterized. The transcript has 3 exons. The record is from RefSeq and is a predicted model, not a curated record. NCBI's taxonomy places the organism in Eukaryota, Metazoa, Nematomorpha, Gordioida, Chordodea, Parachordodidae.